CCUACGGGAGGCAGCAGUGGGGAAUAUUGGGCAAUGGGCGCAAGCCUGACCCAGCAAAGCCGCGUGAAGGAAGACGGCUUUCGGGUUUUAAACUUCUUUUAUCAGGGACGAAGCAAGUGACGGUACCUGAUGAAUAAGCCACGGCUAACUACGUGCCUGCGGCCGCGGUAAUACGUAGGUGGCAGGCGUGAUCCGGAUUUACUGGGUGUAAAGGGAGUGUAGGCGGGAGUGCAAGUCAGAUGUGAAAACUAUGGGCUCAACCCAUAGCCUGCAUUUGAUACUGUACUUCUUGAGUGCUGGAGAGGCAAUCGGAAUGCCGUGUGUAGCGGUGAAAUGCGUAGAUAUAAGGAGGAACACCAGUGGCGAAGGCAGAUUGCUGGACAGUAACUGACGCUGAGGCGCGAAAGCGUGGGGAGCAAACAGGAUUAGAUACCCGAGUAGUC
RNAcentral lists this ribosomal RNA (443 nucleotides) under uncultured bacterium. RNAcentral describes it as "partial 16S ribosomal RNA". It matches the Rfam family "Bacterial small subunit ribosomal RNA", at positions 338 to 795 of the family's 1533-position model. The record is from RNAcentral.